RNAcentral lists this long non-coding RNA (695 nucleotides) under Hordeum vulgare. Its description in RNAcentral is "long non-coding RNA (HVUL_LNC013970)". Lineage: Eukaryota; Viridiplantae; Streptophyta; Magnoliopsida; Poales; Poaceae. The record is from RNAcentral.
ACACACACGCGUGCGUGCGUUUCUUCAAAGUUCGGAAUGAGUGGCAUCGGGAAAACAGCUUUGACUCCGCGCUCAAAAGGUCUUGAGAUAUCGUGCCUACCGGUGGUCGUGUCGCGUAGCUCUCUUUGAACCAUGGCAUCUAGAACUUGCACUGGCAAGGGCAGACCCACGAAACUGUGAAGCGAGUCGGAGUAUCUGAUGGUCAGUUGAAGUCCAACAGAAAACCGCAGUGGUCAACUUCUCCCAUGCGUGCACUCAUGUCCUAACGAGGUUUGGGGUAUGGCAGAUGCAAUUUCUUUGUUGCAUCACAUUUCAUAGAUGUCACAGUUUUUUUCUCGGAAUUUGCGCAUCGAUGAACUUGGCCAAUAUGGGGUAAAUUGGAAUGGAAAAUUACGGAAUUGCAAAUUGAAACUUGCAUGAAUCAACUGGGAACGGUGAUUUGUAAUAGAAAAAACAUGAAGAACCAUGAAUCUGUAUGUACACAAUACUGGAAUCUUCCUUCUUCGUAUGCAUGUAGUCCGACUACGUACACAUAGAUUCAUUAUCUAUAUAGAUGUGAUCUAAUCUCAUCCAUCAAUUUAACCCUUCUCUUCCACUAAUCACCCAAUCGAUAUUGCUUUAUAUGACCUUCGCGUAAGACAAUAUUUGUGGUCAUGUUGGCAAAAUUGAAUUACUUUGUGUUUUUUAUAUAGAUC